This 1453-nucleotide long non-coding RNA is filed under the name Oryctolagus cuniculus (rabbit). RNAcentral's name for it is "lncRNA (ENSOCUG00000033625.1)". The record is from RNAcentral. Lineage: Eukaryota; Metazoa; Chordata; Mammalia; Lagomorpha; Leporidae.
AUGUGGUCCCAACUAGUACAACAGGUUUUUCCAUCUCACUGUGACUGCAGCAGCAGCAAGAGCAGCACAUGGAUCGGGCAGGAAAGCCGUGACUUCCAGAGCAAGCGAAAGGCGGACUCAGGACUCAGAGAAAGCCGGGACCUGCUUGUACUCGUUGAUGUUAGGAUGAGACACGGAUACAACAGUCAGGAUCAAGAUGGGGAAAGACCACACCAUGAGAUCUCAGCUCACUUUAAGCCACUCUGCCCCUCCUUCUGCUGGCAGCCACAUUCAACUACCGAUAAGAUGUCCCCAUUGCCACUGGAUGCAGCAAGUGAAGCUUGGGGAUUUAAUUUAGAGCUACCCCUGGUGAGUGGUAGCAAUGAACGCCUGCUGGGAUUGCCUGUGCACUUACUUGGAGGCUCUCUGCCUCUUGGAGGUCAUCGUUCCCUCACCAGCAGCAGAGCUUGCUAAGCCCCCUUUGGAGAGGGCAGGGGUAGUAGACCCUCAAACUCAGCAUCAGUUAUGGAGGUUCUGCACACGUGCCACCCAGCUUUUGAGAAUUAACUGCCCGACUUGUAAAUUGAAGCAUCUAGGAAGAGGUGUGGACUUCGUAGUAGAGUCCUCUUCAUGACACAAAGCAAUCUCACAGGCAGCAGAACCACCAGGCACAGUGCUGUCUGCAUAGAAUAUAUCCUUACUAUGACAGCCUCUCUCCUCUGUCUUCACCCUCCCAAUUAAAGCAAGAAUAAGUACAACUAAGCCCACCUCUUUAGACUUGCAGAUGACUGUAUCAGGCACUUGACAUUGAGAAACAAGCUUGGCCAGGGUUCACACUAGCACUUUUCAUUGGCAUUACUUUGGUGGAAGUGCAUGCUGCAUUAACUUUGUUUAGGAAAGGGAAAGAGUUUCAGAGUAACUGCAUCACCGACUUCCUCUCACCUAAUCUCCCGAUAAGCCAUAUUUGGUUUCCUUCCCACAUAGAAAACUCUACACGGAGCUGUUGCCCCUCCCUGGGUCCCACUCCCCCUCCCCCCACCACCACCGGCAUCCUGAACAAACCUGUCCAGUAUACCUCAGCCACCUACCUACCGUAUGCAAAGUCAGAAAAGCAAGUGUGUAUGUGGAUACUGUCUUUAGCAAACGUCUGCUGUGCUGUACCUUUCCAGAUGUUGGGGAAUAGCCAGAGAGUCCACACAAACAUUGCUGAAGCUAGAUCAGGUCUCUUGUGAGGGAAAGUCAUCUUCACUCGCAUGCCCUGGUUGACUUGGAUCUUAUUAUUUACUUGGUGUUCUUUGUCCCAGAUAAAAAAGGAUUGACUGUAGCAUGUCAUGCAGAAAUAGGUCCCCACCAGAGGUGCUUGCUAGUGUCUGGUGGAACAGGGCAGAGCAGAGUUCUGCAAUAAUCCUGGGACCAGCCACAUUGGGUUUGAAAGGUUCUGAUGAUCUCCUUGGCCAAAGAAAGGCAGACCCCU